RNAcentral lists this long non-coding RNA (261 nucleotides) under Elaeis guineensis (African oil palm). RNAcentral's name for it is "long non-coding RNA (EGUI_LNC081165)". Lineage: Eukaryota; Viridiplantae; Streptophyta; Magnoliopsida; Arecales; Arecaceae. The record is from RNAcentral.
GUUGGGAAUGUUCGGCCACUGACGGACUGAUGAAGUUCUGGAAGAAAUUCGGAUUGGAGUCGAUCGAAUCCUGUUGGAAAAGAUCUGGAAGAGGUCCGAAGAAUGGUUGACCCUUGUAGGAGGUCGGUCGAUAGUAGAAUCUAGAGAGCACUUGGAGCAGCCUGAUAGACGACUGAAGAAGCUUAUCAUUGGAGAAGCCCGGGAGAUGCGGCAGGAGUUCGUCCAUCAAGAGAAUCCUGUCGGCCCUUGUGGAAGGAGCUG